This 468-nucleotide ribosomal RNA is filed under the name uncultured bacterium. RNAcentral's name for it is "partial 16S ribosomal RNA". It matches the Rfam family "Bacterial small subunit ribosomal RNA", at positions 28 to 507 of the family's 1533-position model. The record is from RNAcentral.
GACGAACGCUGGCGGCGUGCUUAACACAUGCAAGUCGAACGGAAAGGCCCUGCUUUUGUGGGGUGCUCGAGUGGCGAACGGGGGAGUAACACGUGAGUAACCUGCCCUUGACUUUGGGAUAACUUCAGGAAACUGGGGCUAAUACCGGAUAGGAGCUCCUGCUGCAUGGUGGGGGUUGGAAAGUUUCGGCGGUUGGGGAUGGACUCGCGGCUUAUCAGCUUGUUGGUGGGGUAGUGGCUUACCAAGGCUUUGACGGGUAGCCGGCCUGAGAGGGUGACCGGCCACAUUGGGACUGGAAUAAGGCACAGCCUCCUACGGGAGGCAGCAGUGGGGAAUAGUGCACAAUGGGCGGAAGCCUGAUGCAGCCACGCCGCGUGCGGGAUGACGGCCUUCGGGUUGUAUACCGCUUUCGCCUGUGACGAAGCGUGAGUGACGGUAAUGGGUAAAGAAGCACCGGCUAACUACGUG